AACAUUUCGAACUUCCUCCAAAUGAGUGCUAAAAUGGACGGAUGAAGUCUAGCAAGAGCAGCAAUAAAGGAGCAACACUGUGAUUCUACAGCCUACACAAACCCAGGAAGAAAAGAAAUUUUAGCUUUGAAAUCAGUUAUUCUUCGAACCUUCUUUUGAAUUCCAAUUUUCUCUCAGUUUUCAACUGUUAGCCAAUGUCAAAUAGAGCCAGAUCCGUGUGGAUUUAUGUGAGCAUAUCGACUGACUUUCAGAAGAGAAGAGUGAGGUCUGGUUUUCACUCAAAAUGAGGAAGAUGAAGCUAGAAACGGCGUCUCUGAUUGUAUUCAUAGGCGUGCAUUUUUCAGAGAAAAAGAAGAAGUCUCGUUCAAGAAGAAGCAGGAACCCGUUUUCUAUUUGAGAACCAUCUCUCUUUCUUCGCUUCAAAAAUCAGUGGACGAGAGAGGGGUUCCGUUCGGUUGUGACGAAGAACGAAGAUCAAGAGCUAGGGAAAAGCUGCGCUCCUGGAUCUCCCCUCUUAGCUCUAAAAUUAG
Molecule: long non-coding RNA, 530 nt
Filed under: Nicotiana benthamiana
Lineage: Eukaryota; Viridiplantae; Streptophyta; Magnoliopsida; Solanales; Solanaceae
Description: long non-coding RNA (NBEN_LNC023810)
Source: RNAcentral